RNAcentral lists this ribosomal RNA (412 nucleotides) under Rhizophagus sp. CSD-2020a. Its description in RNAcentral is "partial large subunit ribosomal RNA". The record is from RNAcentral. Lineage: Eukaryota; Fungi; Glomeromycota; Glomeromycetes; Glomerales; Glomeraceae.
AAAGUCAAAUAGCACGUGAAAUUGUUGAAAGGGAAACGAUUAAAGUCAGUCGUACCGGCGGGUAAUCAGCCAUUUGGGUGCGAUUAUGUCGGGUGAUGAAGAGCUUAACCGCCUUCGUGCUUGCAUAUUUGUGCCUUAUUGGUGUAUUUAUUCGCAUGGUAGGUUAACAUCAAUUUCGGUUGUCAUAAAAUGACGGGAGGAAUGUAGCUUUGAUCUCGUAUUGAAGUGUUAUAGCCUCUGGUAGAUGUGAUGGUUGGGAUUGAGGAUUGCAACGAACCCUUUGGGCUACCUGUCUGGCCUCUAGUGGUUGCUUUGGUGCUGAAAGCGUGCUUAUGGUUAUCAAAGUUGGCUGCUAAAAGGUUAGAACGGGUUAAUUUCGUUAAGGAUGUUGACGUAAUGACUUUAAACGACC